GCGGGGAUGCCGGAGCGGUCAAACGGGUUUGGUUUAGGACCAAAUGCUUAGUGCUACACAAGUUCGAAUCUUGUUCCCCGCA
Molecule: transfer RNA, 82 nt
Filed under: Candidatus Pacearchaeota archaeon
Lineage: Archaea; Nanobdellati
Description: tRNA-Leu
Rfam family: tRNA
About the family: Transfer RNA (tRNA) molecules are approximately 80 nucleotides in length. Their secondary structure includes four short double-helical elements and three loops (D, anti-codon, and T loops).
Source: RNAcentral